This 285-nucleotide ribosomal RNA is filed under the name uncultured Prevotella sp. Its description in RNAcentral is "partial 16S ribosomal RNA". It matches the Rfam family "Bacterial small subunit ribosomal RNA", at positions 354 to 633 of the family's 1533-position model. The record is from RNAcentral. Lineage: Bacteria; Pseudomonadati; Bacteroidota; Bacteroidia; Bacteroidales; Prevotellaceae.
UGAGGGAAUAUUUGGGGUCAAUGGGCGAGAGCCUGAACCAGCCAAGUAGCGUGCAGGAUGACGGCCCUAUGGGUUGUAAACUGCUUUUAUAAGGGAAUAAAGUGAGCCUCGUGAGGCUUUUUGCAUGUACCUUAUGAAUAAGGACCGGCUAAUUCCGUGCCAGCAGCCGCGGUAAUACGGAAGGUCCGGGCGUUAUCCGGAUUUAUUGGGUUUAAAGGGAGCGUAGGCCGGAGAUUAAGCGUGUUGUGAAAUGUAGAUGCUCAACGUCUGCACUGCAGCGCGAAC